UACGAGAGGCCCAAACGUUAUUCGGAAUUACUGGGCUUAAAGAGUUCGUAGGCGGCGCAGAAAGUAGGGUGUGAAAGCCCUCGGCUUAACCGAGGAAUUGCGCUCUAAACUACUGUGCUUGAGGAACCUAGAGGUGAGCAGAACUGAUGGUGGAGCGGUGAAAUGCGUAGAGAUCGGGAAGAACACCAGUGGCGAAGGCGGCCGGCUGGGGGCGCCCUGACGCUGAGGCGCGAGAGCGUGGGGAGCAAACAGG
This 253-nucleotide ribosomal RNA is filed under the name uncultured bacterium. RNAcentral's name for it is "partial 16S ribosomal RNA". It matches the Rfam family "Bacterial small subunit ribosomal RNA", at positions 524 to 776 of the family's 1533-position model. The record is from RNAcentral.